CUCGGUGGUUUACAGAUGAGCGGUCCGACCUGAUCCCAUCCCGAACUCAGUAGUCAAACGCUCAAUCAGGGACGAUAAUUUAUUCGCAAGGAUAUGUGAAAAUACCCCACUGCCGGGA
Molecule: ribosomal RNA, 118 nt
Filed under: Candidatus Daviesbacteria bacterium RIFCSPHIGHO2_02_FULL_39_41
Lineage: Bacteria; Candidatus Daviesiibacteriota
Also listed under: 3 other names
Source: RNAcentral